CCUGCCAUUUGUGACCAUAUGGAUGGACCUUGAGGGCAUGAGGCUAAAUAAGAUAAAUCAGAGAAAGACAAAGCCUGUACAGUAUCACUUCUAUGUGGAACCUAAAACUACUGAACUCAUAGAAACAGAGAGUAGAAGGGUGGUUACCAGUGGCUGAGCAGUGGGGGAAAUGGAGAAAUGUUGGUCAAAGGGUACAAACUUCCAGCUAUACGAUGAUGUCCACGCAUCAGGAAUGGGGCAGGACGUGUUGGACAUGCCUUUCCUCCGCAAUGCCUGCGGCCUCAGGUGGAACACUCAAAGUCUGGGGGCAGAAAUCACCGGAAGAUUUACUCACAUACAUCUAGUGGUUGAUUCUGGCCUUGGGUCACAGAUCUGGCCAGUCCCAGGCUUCCUUACAUCAUAGCUCUGGAUUCUGAGGAUAGGAUUUGGAAUUGAAUCCCAGUAUUAUUUUCAAGGGACAUCGUGUGAAUACUGAUGCAUCUAAAUCCCAGGUAACAAUAAGUUACAGUUAAUAGGUUUGUACUACAUCAAAUGCAUACUUACUACAGGUACCUGCAGAGAAUUCCUGACAAAUGCCAACUAUAAAAGAAAUGUUAACUGCGCAUUUAACAGAUGGAAUUUUAGAGACAAUGUAUUACUGACUAAUACCCCGCUGAUACGCUUUAUUUCCUCAAAUAACACGCAACAGUUUCCAUCAUUUAAAUAAUAAUGACUCAUGAGAAUUCUUCCACUAUUAGAGUCAGAAGAUUGCAGGAAGCCCGAAAGGAUACUGAAUGACCACCGCGUUCCUCCACUUUUCAGGCAGCUUGUCACUUGAUGGACUAGUAUCAGUUGCUUUCCAGUCUCACCAAAGGUGAGACUCCUACAGAGUCAUUGCUUUAGCUCUGUUGUCAUUCGAGGAAAUAGUCUGGUGCCCCUUCAUAGAGAACGCCUGGCUUUCCUGAGUUCCCAGCAAUGCGGACAACCCAUGUUCAAAUUCAUAAGAGAAACUCCUCAGACUUUGAACACUCUAGACUCUGUGUCAGCAGUAACUGGGCAAGACCACAUCACCAGAGGCUUAGGAGUCAAAGGAGCAAAAAUGAAACCAUAAUCAUUAAAUACUAAUGACAACUUAAUUACUUUCUCAGAGAAACAGAACCAUUUGAGACCAUCGGAAAGCAGAAAGUGAGAUAAUAAUUCAGCAAGAGCUUUCAUGCUGUUCGAUGCUAAGAGUAUCUCAUGGGUGUGCCCAGCCUCUGCCCAUUGUCCUCUAAAGUUAAUAUGUGCCUUUCCAGGACCUCGGGGACUCAUUUACAAAUAGUUACAAACAAACAGAUUUCCUUUCUGAAUAGCUGGACUUCUGAUACUACUUAUAGAACAUGUGUAUGACCCACACAUCAGAUUGCUAGGAUUUUAAGGACUCUUAGCCACUUAUAUAACACACGAUAAGAAGUUGGCAAAUUGAUUUACAAAAGAUGAAAGCUCGAGGUAGGACUGGCCACAUAUUGGGGAAUGCUGUGGUCAGUGCAUUUGGCCAACAUCAGUCCUGCAGCGCAGGGCCGGAAGUACAUCCCUCUUAGCCCUUGGGAAAAUGGAGUUGCCUGUGGCUCUGAUUCAUGGUUCCUAUACAUCCCCAGAGCUGGGCCUAUAUCCUGUAGUUAAAGCUUCAAAGGAAAACGCAAGUCUUCUAUCAGGGAGAACUGAUUGUGGAGCUCAAGCUCUUAUUUGGAGAAAAAUCUGUGCCUGUUCUGAUAUGGGUAGUCUGUCAGACUUCAUGGACUAGUAUCUGAGUCCCAGGGACAAGGGGCUGAAAGCAGAAAAGACCAAGGGUAGUGUGACUCCCAAGUCUCCAUGGGGUUCUGGGGGCAUUCUU
Molecule: long non-coding RNA, 1852 nt
Organism: Herpailurus yagouaroundi (jaguarundi)
Lineage: Eukaryota; Metazoa; Chordata; Mammalia; Carnivora; Felidae
Exons: 3
Source: RefSeq, a predicted model, not a curated record